GCCGGGGUAGCUCAGCCAGGUGGAGCACCCGACCGCGCCUGCGCGCGGGGUGAGGCUGUUAACCGGGGGGUCCCGGGUUCAAAUCCCGGCCCCGGCGCCA
RNAcentral lists this transfer RNA (100 nucleotides) under Thermofilum sp. RNAcentral's name for it is "tRNA-OTHER". It matches the Rfam family "tRNA". Rfam says of the family: Transfer RNA (tRNA) molecules are approximately 80 nucleotides in length. Their secondary structure includes four short double-helical elements and three loops (D, anti-codon, and T loops). Lineage: Archaea; Thermoproteati; Thermoproteota; Thermoprotei; Thermofilales; Thermofilaceae. The record is from RNAcentral.